AGCGAUCGCUGGCGGCAGGCCUAACACAUGCAAGUCGAACGGACCCUUCGGGGUUGGUGGCGGACGGGUGAGUGACACGUGGGAACGUGCCUUUAGGUUCGGAAUAGCUCCUGGAAACGGGUGGUAAUGCCGAAUGUGCCCUUCGGGGGAAAGAUUUAUCGCCUUUAGAGCGGCCCGCGUCUGAUUAGCUAGUUGGUGAGGUAAUGGCUCACCAAGGCGACGAUCAGUAGCUGGUCUGAGAGGAUGACCAGCCACACUGGGACUGAGGCACGGCCCAGACUCCUACGGGAGGGAGCAGUGGGGAAUCGUGCGCAAUGGGCGAAAGCCUGACGCAGCCAUGCCGCGUGAAUGAUGAAGGUCUUAGGAUUGUAAAAUUCUUUCACCGGGGACGAUAAUGACGGUACCCGGAGAAGAAGCCCCGGCUAACUUCGUGCCAGCAGCCGCAGUAA
This 449-nucleotide ribosomal RNA is filed under the name uncultured bacterium. RNAcentral's name for it is "partial 16S ribosomal RNA". It matches the Rfam family "Bacterial small subunit ribosomal RNA", at positions 29 to 523 of the family's 1533-position model. The record is from RNAcentral.